RNAcentral lists this transfer RNA (77 nucleotides) under Acetobacter sp. RNAcentral describes it as "tRNA-Arg". It matches the Rfam family "tRNA". Rfam says of the family: Transfer RNA (tRNA) molecules are approximately 80 nucleotides in length. Their secondary structure includes four short double-helical elements and three loops (D, anti-codon, and T loops). Lineage: Bacteria; Pseudomonadati; Pseudomonadota; Alphaproteobacteria; Acetobacterales; Acetobacteraceae. The record is from RNAcentral. RNAcentral also lists the same sequence under 1 other name.
GGACCCGUAGCUCAGCUGGAUAGAGCGUCGCCCUCCGAAGGCGAAGGUCGAAGGUUCGAAUCCUUUCGGGUCCACCA